Long non-coding RNA from Gopherus evgoodei (Goodes thornscrub tortoise), 271 nucleotides. RefSeq lists it as uncharacterized. Lineage: Eukaryota; Metazoa; Chordata; Testudines; Testudinidae. The record is from RefSeq and is a predicted model, not a curated record. The transcript has 3 exons.
CAUAGGAGGGGGGGAGAGGUGGACGGGAAAUUAUUUUGUAUACAACUUGUCCAGAAUUUUUAAUAUGCUUUUGCUUUUGGGAGGGCUGUUUUUUUACACCCUGGAAUCUCCUGCGGCGUUUUUUUUAGAGAUUCCAGUUCAGGUUUACUGCCUGUGGCUUUUUCGGUGUUACCAAGCCACACCAGCUCCGGAGUUACAAAGGCACUCUGUUGGAUUUUACUGGACAGUUAAGCUUUGCAAAUGUAAUUUUAGUUUUGUAACUUGUAUUGCC